UACACGAGCGGCGAACGGGUGAGUAACACGUGGGUGAUCUGCCCUGCACUUCGGGAUAAGCCUGGGAAACUGGGUCUAAUACCGGAUAUGACCUCCUAUCGCAUGGUGGGUGGUGGAAAGAUUUAUCGGUGCAGGAUGGGCCCGCGGCCUAUCAGCUUGUUGGUGGGGUAAUGGCCUACCAAGGCGACGACGGGUAGCCGACCUGAGAGGGUGACCGGCCACACUGGGACUGAGACACGGCCCAGACUCCUACGGGAGGCAGCAGUGGGGAAUAUUGCACAAUGGGCGAAAGCCUGAUGCAGCGACGCCGCGUGAGGGAUGACGGCCUUCGGGUUGUAAACCUCUUUCAGCAGGGACGAAGCGCAAGUGACGGUACCUGCAGAAGAAGCACCGGCUAACUACGUGCCAGCAGCCGCGGUAAUACGUAGGGUGCAAGCGUUGUCCGGAAUUACUGGGCGUAAAGAGUUCGUAGGCGGUUUGUCGCGUCGUUUGUGAAAACCAGCAGCUCAACUGCUGGCUUGCAGGCGAUACGGGCAGACUUGAGUACUGCAGGGGAGACUGGAAUUCCUGGUGUAGCGGUGAAAUGCGCAGAUAUCAGGAGGAACACCGGUGGCGAA
RNAcentral lists this ribosomal RNA (617 nucleotides) under Rhodococcus qingshengii. RNAcentral's name for it is "bacterial SSU rRNA". It matches the Rfam family "Bacterial small subunit ribosomal RNA", at positions 88 to 719 of the family's 1533-position model. Lineage: Bacteria; Bacillati; Actinomycetota; Actinomycetes; Mycobacteriales; Nocardiaceae. The record is from RNAcentral.